AACCUCCGCAAUGUGAGAAAUCGCGACGGGGGGAUCCCAAGUGCCAUUCUUAACGGGAUGGCUUUUCAUUAGUGUAAAGAGCUUUUGGAAUAAGGGCUGGGCAGACCGGUGCCAGCCGCCGCGGUAACACCGGCAGCUCUAGUGGUAGCAGUUUUUAUUGGGCCUAAAGCGUCCGUAGCCGGUUUAAUAAGUCUCUGGUGAAAUCCUGUAGCUUAACUGUGGGAAUUGCUGGAGAUACUAUUAGACUUGAGACCGGGAGAGGUUAGAGGUACUCCCAGGGUAGAGGUGAAAUUCUGUAAUCCUGGGAGGACCGCCUGUUGCGAAGGCGUCUAACUGGAACGGUUCUGACGGUGAGGGACGAAAGUUAGGGGCGCGAACCGGAUUAGAUACCCGGGUAGUCCUAACUGUAAACGAUGCGGACUUGGUGUUGGGGUGGCUUUGAGCUGCUCCAGUGCCGAAGGGAAGCUGUUAAGUCCGCCGCCUGGGAAGUACGGUCGCAAGACUGAAACUUAAAGGAAUU
Molecule: ribosomal RNA, 520 nt
Filed under: uncultured bacterium
Lineage: Bacteria
Description: bacterial SSU rRNA
Rfam family: Archaeal small subunit ribosomal RNA
Source: RNAcentral